UAUCUGCCAAAAACUAAAAUAAUAUAUAAUAAAAAUUAAAGAAGCAUAUAAAGAAAAUUUCCGAUUACUGUUGAAAAUUUCCCAUUUUCAACCACAUACCGCCAGUACGCUUAUUUUUCGAUUCAAACUUGUGCAUCUUCACUUGCAGUUCCUUCUUCUCGCUCUCUGAUUCCUCGAUUGACAACUUGAGCUUACCAAUUCUUUACUUGUUGACGUCAUUCUCGUGAAGAAGCUAAGUUUUCUCUUGCUCUAAUGCGGUGAUUUUUUGCUUCAGUGCCACCGAGGUUUUCGCCCAUGCAUCAGAAGUUUUCGACGACGCGCUGGACCACACACCACAAGUACGCUCCAUCCACACACCACACACCACACACCACCAGUAGCUCCGUCCACUCAUCACCAGUAGCUCCGACCACACACCACCAGUACACUCCGACCAUACACCACCAGUACGCGACCACAAUCACCACCAAUCGACCACCAGUGUGUGCUCCGACCAAAAAUCAGCUUCUCCACUGCUCUGACAACCACUUCUAUUUCAUCUCUCAAUUUGCACUUCAAUUUCCGAGAAUAUUUGGGGUUUUCUUCUUUAAUUUGGUGAUUUUAAGGUGAUGCAAAAAAGGCGGAUCAUUUGACAUCCCAUGAUGGAGCUAAUGAGAAACUCUAUUUGUUCAAAACACACUUGCUUGAAGAAGGCACAAUUGAUGUUGUGGUUGAUGUAUGUGAAGGUGUAUUUCAUACAACGUCCCUUUUUACCAUGGAAUCAAACGUCCACAGGCUGAGAUGAUUGAUCCUGCAUUAAGGGGACACUUAAUGUACUUGGAUCAGUGGCUAAGACACCAUCUGUUAGAAGAGUGGUUUUGACAUAAUCUGUAGCAGCAGUUGCUUUCAAUGGCAAGCGAAGAACACAUUAAAUGGUGUUGGCUUAUUAUCGAAACUUGGCUUUUCUGUGGGAGGAUGGUAGAGGUACUAAAGUUGUUCAGAAGCGGUGAAGGCUUAUCAAUUUUUUAAAAUCCAAUAUAAGUGUCUAGUUUUGAAGAAAUGGUUUUGAAUUAUGUUUACGUUUUAACCAUCUUUGGUCUCGGUUAACUAUAAAAGAAUUUUUUCAAUAAAAAUAAUACAAUAUUGCAAAAUUUACAAUGUGUGCAUCUUUGCUCAUAGAGCAAUGAUAGAGCGUGAAAAUGGUUCUUUGAUUAGCACUACACUUUGAUAAUAUACAAAAAAGUUUUUUCAAUUAUCUUUCUCUUAUACAUAUGCCAAGUGGUAAAACUAAUGAAGGUUGACUAGAAAAUAUGUUAUGGUAUAUAUGCAUAACAACACAACUUUCUCCCUUUAUCCGAUUUUGGGUCCGAUAAUGUGAAUGUGCUCAUGUAUAUGGAUAUGGUAUAUAUACACAGCAAUGGUAAGAUAUCCUAUGUAAUUCCACUAGUGGGGUGUGGGGAGGAUAGUAAAAUGGAUGGAAGCAAAUUGUUUAUCUUUAGUUUUAGUAGACCAUGUUAAGCAGGAGGUGUGGCUGAGAUACUCAUCGCAUUCCAGUUCACGGUUAUUCUUACCUCUGUUUAUAUAGAAAAGGUACUGGACCAUGUUACUAGUCUAAAUAGGUCUAAGCAAACAUACUUACAUUUUCUCUUUUGAGAAACAUAACCAGAACUAUUUUGGUUGCGUGUUGUUAUACAGUGCUGAACAGUAAUCACAGGGGGGUCUUAAUCUUCGAACAUACUUGAUUUUGGUAGGCCCACUACAAUUGUAAGUUUGCAAGAUUGCUAUCUUCCCAUCUCUAUUGUGUGUAACUCAGAACCUUUUAAGAUAGAUGUUGUUCACUUCUCAUGCUUUGAUGAAACAGAGAACUUGUUGGCCAAAUACUGGAAGCAUUAGAAGAAAUUGGUUCUUUAGCUUAAAAAUGAUUUCAGUGACAUUAGCCUUUUGAGUAACCAAGGUUCUACUCUUCUCAUAUAGAAGCUUUUACGACAAAAGGUACUGAUGGUAGAGCUCCUCUGUAUCUCAAACUGCCGGGUUUGAAAUUUUAAUAAGUUCUAUUUUCACAUGAAUAUAUUCCAAUACUUUUACUAUUCGGCCAUUUAUUUAUCAAAGAAGUCACACGAAAUAUUUCAUUCACAUCUUACAAUUUAAUCAUAAAUGCUAAUUAUUAUCAUUUGAACUAGUGCUCAGUCAUUUCUAUUUUUUAUUUCACAUAUUUGAACUUUAAUUGGUGGGGGCGUAUUCCUGUUAUGACUCCGUAUUCAAUGCUCCGUGUUCCGUGUUCCAUGUUUAUUACGAAUAUGUGUGCUUUCCUCUGCUUUAUAUUCCUGCAUUCCUGCUUGACUCUGUUUUAUAUUCCUUAUGGGUGCCGUAUCUAUGUUAUGUCAUCUGCUUCUGUGCUGUACUAUGUGUUUGUGUGAUAUCUCGUGACUUGAGCCGGGGGUCUUUCGGAAACAGCCUUUCUACUUCAUCAGAGGUAGAGGUAUGGACUGCGUACAUCUUACCCCCCCCCAGACCCCACGAAGUGGGAAUACACUGGGUUUGUUGUUGUUGUUGUUGUUGAACUUUAAUCUGCCAUGUGUAUUUAUACGCUAAUCUUCUAGAUGACUGUGGUUGCAUCGUAGGUUAGCUGUUUGUUCUUGCAGAAACCUUUUACAUUUAUCAUAACAGAUCUCCUAACACUAUCGUAUUAGAGUAGGCCAAUUUUUAUAGAUAAGAAAAGAGUAGCACAUAUUUUUAGAAACCGCGAUACCUGGAAAAUAAUGAGGUGUUGUCUUUUAGCGAGGCUUGUGGUGAUAUCAUUGUCGUAGCUCUUUUGGGGCAUAUGGAGUUAAUUAUUGACUCAUGUUUUAUUGCUUUUUCCAGCUCUGGUAUAUACUUUCGAAUACAUUGGCUAAGGAUGCUGAAUGGAAGUUUGUGAAAGAUAAAACUUUUGAUAAUGGUUACAAUAAACCCAGCAACGGUUAUAGGAAGUUUGUUUCAACCAACAACUAAUACAAGUUGUGCUGCCAUCUUACAAUUGCUAAAUGGUAUUCUCUGUUAACACUUGUAUCAGAAGCCAUAUGCCAUUUAAUAUAUCCAUUUUGUUGGCAGGUGACUAUCUCCAAGGAUGAUACUGUCAUUCUUGAUGGUGCUGAUGGUCAAAAGAAGUUCAUAGAGGAACGUUGUGAUCAGAUUAAAUCAGCCAUUGAAUUGAGCACAUCUGACUAUGACAAGGAAUGCAAGAAAGUCUAGCUAAGAUUUCAGGGGGUCUUACUGAAAUGCAUGUUUAAGGGAUCGUUCAGAACUUUUUGUAAACUUAUGACAACUCUUGAAUUGUGAAAUUAUAUUUUAUAUUUGCUUUUCGUAUAGGUUGGAUAUUUUACAUUACGAUUAGUCGAUUAAUGUAUUCCUAUGUGAUUUAUAUUAUAUUUCAGUGUAAUAUUUAUUAUUAUAUAAUUAAUUUCUUAUUUCUUUAUUGUGAUGGUA
This is a long non-coding RNA of Capsicum annuum, 3444 nucleotides long. RefSeq lists it as uncharacterized. The record is from RefSeq and is a predicted model, not a curated record. The transcript is spliced from 6 exons. Lineage: Eukaryota; Viridiplantae; Streptophyta; Magnoliopsida; Solanales; Solanaceae.